AACGCACAUUGCGCCCCCUGGUAUUCCGGGGGGCAUGCCUGUUCGAGCGUCAUUACAACCAAUCCAGCCCGGCUGGGUGUUGGGCGUCGCGGCCUGCCGCGCGCCUCAAAGUCCUCGGCGGAAGCCGCCCGUUCCUCUGCGUGAUGAUCCAUCGCCGCUUGGGAGUCGGGGGAGAGCGCCUGCACGCGUCGACGGAGACGUCGACUUCAAGGUUGACCUCGGAUCAGGUAGGGAUACCCGCUGAACUUAA
RNAcentral lists this unclassified non-coding RNA (250 nucleotides) under uncultured fungus. Its description in RNAcentral is "partial contains 5.8S ribosomal RNA, internal transcribed spacer 2, and large subunit ribosomal RNA". The stretch from base 1 to 52 matches the Rfam family "5.8S ribosomal RNA", at positions 103 to 154 of the family's 154-position model. Lineage: Eukaryota; Fungi. The record is from RNAcentral.